GACUCUGUGGCGCAAUGGAAGCGCGUCUGACUCCAGAUCAGAAGGUUGCAUGUUCGAAUCUCGUCAGGGUCA
This 72-nucleotide transfer RNA is filed under the name Saccoglossus kowalevskii. Its description in RNAcentral is "tRNA-Trp". It matches the Rfam family "tRNA". From Rfam's summary of the family: Transfer RNA (tRNA) molecules are approximately 80 nucleotides in length. Their secondary structure includes four short double-helical elements and three loops (D, anti-codon, and T loops). The record is from RNAcentral. Lineage: Eukaryota; Metazoa; Hemichordata; Enteropneusta; Harrimaniidae.